UGAGGAAUAUUGCACAAUGGGCGCAAGCCUGAUGCAGCAACGCCGCGUGCGGGACGAAGGCCUUCGGGUCGUAAACCGCUUUUCUGGGGAAAGAGCAAGGACGGUACCUCAGGAAUAAGUCUCGGCUAACUAUGUGCCAGCAGCCGCGGUAAAACGUAGGAGGCGAGCGUUAUCCGGAUUUACUGGGCGUAAAGCGCACGCAGGCGGCUCCGUGAGUCGGACGUGAAAGCUCCCGGCUUAACCGGGAGAGGCCGUUCGAUACUGCGGGGCUUGGGGUAGGGAGAGGAAUGCGGAAUUCCCGGUGUAGUGGUGGAAUGCGUAGAUAUCGGGAGGAACACCUGUGGCGAAAGCGGCAUUCUGGCCCUCACCUGACGCCGAGGUGCGAAAGCGUGGGUAG
Molecule: ribosomal RNA, 397 nt
Filed under: uncultured bacterium
Lineage: Bacteria
Description: bacterial SSU rRNA
Rfam family: Bacterial small subunit ribosomal RNA
Source: RNAcentral